RNAcentral lists this ribosomal RNA (480 nucleotides) under uncultured bacterium. Its description in RNAcentral is "partial 16S ribosomal RNA". It matches the Rfam family "Bacterial small subunit ribosomal RNA", at positions 28 to 507 of the family's 1533-position model. The record is from RNAcentral.
GACGAACGCUGGCGGCGCGCUUAACACAUGCAAGUCGAGCGGUGAAGCUCUGACAGAGCCCUGCGGGGCGAAGACAAAGUGGUUUAGCGGCGGACGGUAAAGUAACACGUGAGUAACCUUCCUUAGACAUUGGUAUAGCCUCGGGAAACCGGGAUUAAUACCAAAUAAAAGCGUAAUGACACAUGUCAUAACGAUCAAAACGCCUGUGGGCUAAGCUGGAGUCGCGUCCGAUUAUGUAGUUGGUAGGGUAAAAGCGUACCAAGGCGACGAUGGGUAGCCGGGCUGAGAGGGUGAACGGCCACAUUGGAACUGAGAAACGGUCCCAACUCCUACGGGAGGCAGCAGUGGGGAAUAUUGCACAAUGGAGGGAACUCUGAUGAAGCGACGCCGGGUGAACGAAGAAGGGUUUCGAGUCGUAAAGUUCUUUUAUAUGGGAAGAUAAUGACGGUACCAGAAGAAAAAGCCCCGGCUAACUACGUG